UACAGGAGGGCAAGCGUUUAUCGGAAUUAUGGUGCGUAAAGGGCGCGUAGGCGGCUUGGCAAGUGGAUGGUGAAAUCCCUCGGCUUAACCGAGGAACUGCCACCCAGACUGCUUAGCUUGAGACCGGGAGAGGUGAGUGGAAUUCCCAGUGUAGCGGUGAAAUGCGUAGAUAUUGGGAGGAACACCAGUGGCGAAGGCGGCUCACUGGACCGGUACUGACGCUGAGGCGCGAAAGCGUGGGGAGCAAACGGGG
RNAcentral lists this ribosomal RNA (253 nucleotides) under uncultured bacterium. RNAcentral's name for it is "partial 16S ribosomal RNA". It matches the Rfam family "Bacterial small subunit ribosomal RNA", at positions 524 to 777 of the family's 1533-position model. The record is from RNAcentral.